This is a non-coding RNA of Cordylochernes scorpioides, 73 nucleotides long. The record is from the annotation of a GenBank genome assembly. NCBI's taxonomy places the organism in Eukaryota, Metazoa, Arthropoda, Arachnida, Pseudoscorpiones, Chernetidae.
GUCCAGGGGCGGGAAUAGAACCCACAACCUUCUGCUUACCGGGCAGGUGCCAUGUCCACUAGGCUACCCUGGA